This is a non-coding RNA of Camelina sativa (false flax), 570 nucleotides long. Lineage: Eukaryota; Viridiplantae; Streptophyta; Magnoliopsida; Brassicales; Brassicaceae. The record is from RefSeq and is a predicted model, not a curated record.
UAUAUACAUUCUUCUUCUUUCUUGCGUAUUCACUCACACUUCUCUCCCUACUUUAUAUGGGGCGUGUCUCUUUGUUGACUAGACAGAUCUUAAGGACAUUGUAACAGCUAUAUAUGUGCUUUAGUCCAGAUGCAAAUUAAGGGUGCAGUAAUAGGUUCCAUGACAGGUAACUGUGGUUUUUACCAUAUACCCGGUAUGUUUAUUUGCCUGCAGUUAGUUGUUAAGGUUACUGUUUAAUGACUUGACAACAGCUAGAAUAAUAUAAUGCAUAAUAUUGUACAUCUCAUUCUCACUUCUCAGAUAGCCAUCUACUUAAAUGGACAGUGAUCAACUUGCGUGGGAAGAAGAAGGUUCCAGGCAAAAGGAUCAAUUAGAAACAAUGGAGUAUAUUUUGCAGCUGAGGCCCCCAAGCUCGAAGAUGAGUUUGAAUUAUAACGAGUUGACUGGACCUUCAGAAGCAAUUAGCUUUUAUGACUUCUUGUUAGAUACUUGCUUUCAUUAAUAGUAUGUGGUUUGGUGCUUUAUUUUGAUAUAUACAUAUACACAUACUGAAAGACUUGUUUACUUGUA